GAUGGAGUUAUCAUUGGGUAUGCAUUGAGAUUCAAUUUUAGUACAAUGAAUAACAUAAAUGAGUAUGAAGCACUCAUCGCUGAACCAAAAAUCACCAAGAAGCUUGGCGCAAAAGAAGUUAAGGUGUUUUUUGAUUUUUAGCUCAUCGUGAGCUAAGUAUGAGGCAAGCAUGACGCAAAAGAUUCCAUGAUGUUUAUAUACCUUCAAAAGAAAAGAGAUCUUCAAUGGAUACCG
RNAcentral lists this long non-coding RNA (234 nucleotides) under Elaeis guineensis (African oil palm). Its description in RNAcentral is "long non-coding RNA (EGUI_LNC013983)". The record is from RNAcentral. Lineage: Eukaryota; Viridiplantae; Streptophyta; Magnoliopsida; Arecales; Arecaceae.